This is a non-coding RNA of Podarcis lilfordi (Lilford's wall lizard), 71 nucleotides long. The record is from the annotation of a GenBank genome assembly. Lineage: Eukaryota; Metazoa; Chordata; Lepidosauria; Squamata; Lacertidae.
GCAUUGGUGGUUCAGCGGUAGAAUUUUUGCCUGACAUGUGGGAUGCCCAGGUUUGAUUCCCAUCCAAUGCA